RNAcentral lists this ribosomal RNA (447 nucleotides) under Streptomyces flavogriseus. RNAcentral's name for it is "bacterial SSU rRNA". It matches the Rfam family "Bacterial small subunit ribosomal RNA", at positions 8 to 473 of the family's 1533-position model. Lineage: Bacteria; Bacillati; Actinomycetota; Actinomycetes; Kitasatosporales; Streptomycetaceae. The record is from RNAcentral.
AGAGUUUGAUCCUGGCUCAGGACGAACGCUGGCGGCGUGCUUAACACAUGCAAGUCGAACGAUGAAGCCUUUCGGGGUGGAUUAGUGGCGAACGGGUGAGUAACACGUGGGCAAUCUGCCCUUCACUCUGGGACAAGCCCUGGAAACGGGGUCUAAUACCGGAUAACACUUUGUCCCGCAUGGGAGGGGGUUAAAAGCUCCGGCGGUGAAGGAUGAGCCCGCGGCCUAUCAGCUUGUUGGUGGGGUAAUGGCCUACCAAGGCGACGACGGGUAGCCGGCCUGAGAGGGCGACCGGCCACACUGGGACUGAGACACGGCCCAGACUCCUACGGGAGGCAGCAGUGGGGAAUAUUGCACAAUGGGCGAAAGCCUGAUGCAGCGACGCCGCGUGAGGGAUGACGGCCUUCGGGUUGUAAACCUCUUCAGCAGGGAAGAAGCGAAAGUGAC